AAAUUUCACUUGCUUGAUGGACGAUGUGGUGAAGGCUUAUCCUGGCGCAACUUUCGCUUCAUACAGGGUAAGCCAGGACCUACUUAAGGCGUUCUUGCUAAAAAUAUGUUUGACAAAAAGGAACACGAUCAGAUCGGCUGUGGAGAUCGGUACAAUUGUGCAAUCGUCUAAGGAACCUGCAGUUGUUCCGGUAUAAAAAAGGCCUAAGAACAACCGACGAUUACGUCUUCAUCAACGAGAUCAAUUACAAUACGGAAGAAGGACCUGAAGAAGAGUUCGCACCAUUCGGGCUCGAUGGGGAGGUGUUUACAGACCAGCACAAGUUGGAGUUUAAGUACCACGAAACGAGAUACCCGCGGUUGCUCACGGCAUUUGGAAUAGCGCGCUACAUCCUUGAGCAGCUGAAUUGCCUUCACUGCUUGCGUGACAUGACGGAAGAGGAGGACGAUUUUUGCGAGGAGGUGUUGGGUCGAAAAGUUGCAAAGGAAAUAAUUGAACACUCACCAGCAGCCGACGUUCCCGAAACCAGAUGUGGAUGUAGCUUAUGAUGUGUUUCGCGCAGCAAUGGACCAGCACAUGGUGGAACCACCAGCCCGUGCAGGCAAUAUUGGUGGCACGGCUUGCCUUUUUCAGGACAGCUGGAUCCUGCAGUAGCGGCGUGAUGCACCGAAUUAAUUUACUAGUAUUCCUGCUGUUUAUUCUGCUGACAGGCAGAAACUUCAGGCAGCCAGUUGAUUGGAACGUGUCUGCAUUCUAAGUUUAAAUUAAAAGGGUCCACCGACGAUGCAAAUUACGGAAAAUCAUGCGAAAAAAACCGCAAAGUAAAGAUAAUUAAAAUUUCAUUUUAGAUUUAAAAAAAAACAUGGAGCAGAAUUCGAAGGUCGUAGUCAUAAUGAUAUCAACACACCGGCACAUAUAUAACACGAACCACAUUCAAUCUCAGCACUUCCUAGGUAAAAUCCCAAGGCAGGGGAAAAACUGGCAACAGAACUAAACAUAAUCGCUUUGAGGAGGAUUUAAGAACUAAGUCGAUUUUCAGAGGUCCACAGCGACACGCAUCCCAGACAGCCGUCGCUCAAGGGUGAUCGACAUUAAACA
Glossina fuscipes is the source of this 1098-nucleotide long non-coding RNA. RefSeq lists it as uncharacterized. The transcript is spliced from 3 exons. The record is from RefSeq and is a predicted model, not a curated record. Lineage: Eukaryota; Metazoa; Arthropoda; Insecta; Diptera; Glossinidae.